This 1343-nucleotide ribosomal RNA is filed under the name uncultured bacterium. Its description in RNAcentral is "16S ribosomal RNA". It matches the Rfam family "Bacterial small subunit ribosomal RNA", at positions 28 to 1378 of the family's 1533-position model. The record is from RNAcentral.
GACGAACGCUGGCGGCGUGCUUAACACAUGCAAGUCGAACGGAAAGGCCCUGCUUUUGUGGGGUGCUCGAGUGGCGAACGGGUGAGUAACACGUGAGUAACCUGCCCUUGACUUUGGGAUAACUUCAGGAAACUGGGGCUAAUACCGGAUAGGAGCUCCUGCUGCAUGGUGGGGGUUGGAAAGUUUCGGCGGUUGGGGAUGGACUCGCGGCUUAUCAGCUUGUUGGUGGGGUAGUGGCUUACCAAGGCUUUGACGGGUAGCCGGCCUGAGAGGGUGACCGGCCACAUUGGGACUGAGAUACGGCCCAGACUCCUACGGGAGGCAGCAGUGGGGAAUAUUGCACAAUGGGCGGAAGCCUGAUGCAGCAACGCCGCGUGCGGGAUGACGGCCUUCGGGUUGUAAACCGCUUUCGCCUGUGACGAAGCGUGAGUGACGGUAAUGGGUAAAGAAGCACCGGCUAACUACGUGCCAGCAGCCGCGGUGAUACGUANGGUGCGAGCGUUGUCCGGAUUUAUUGGGCGUAAAGGGCUCGUAGGUGGUUGAUCGCGUCGGAAGUGUAAUCUUGGGGCUUAACCCUGAGCGUGCUUUCGAUACGGGUUGACUUGAGGAAGGUAGGGGAGAAUGGAAUUCCUGGUGGAGCGGUGGAAUGCGCAGAUAUCAGGAGGAACACCAGUGGCGAAGGCGGUUCUCUGGGCCUUUCCUGACGCUGAGGAGCGAAAGCGUGGGGAGCGAACAGGCUUAGAUACCCUGGUAGUCCACGCUGUAAACGGUGGGUACUAGGUGUGGGGUCCAUUCCACGGGUUCCGUGCCGUAGCUAACGCUUUAAGUACCCCGCCUGGGGAGUACGGCCGCAAGGCUAAAACUCAAAGGAAUUGACGGGGCUCCGCACAAGCGGCGGAGCAUGCGGAUUAAUUCGAUGCAACGCGUAGAACCUUACCUGGGUUUGACAUGGAUCGGGAGCGCUCAGAGAUGGGUGUGCCUCUUUUGGGGUCGGUUCACAGGUGGUGCAUGGCUGUCGUCAGCUCGUGUCGUGAGAUGUUGGGUUAAGUCCCGCAACGAGCGCAACCCUUGUUCACUGUUGCCAGCACGUUAUGGUGGGGACUCAGUGGAGACCGCCGGGGUCAACUCGGAGGAAGGUGGGGAUGACGUCAAGUCAUCAUGCCCCUUAUGUCCAGGGCUUCACGCAUGCUACAAUGGCUGGUACAGAGAGUGGCGAGCCUGUGAGGGUGAGCGAAUCUCGGAAAGCCGGUCUCAGUUCGGAUUGGGGUCUGCAACUCGACCUCAUGAAGUCGGAGUCGCUAGUAAUCGCAGAUCAGCAACGCUGCGGUGAAUACGUUCCCGGG